AUGAAGAGGCCCAGCUACAAAGCAUUGGUAUACCCAGGACCUGGGACUGCAGCUGAUGGACAAGUGGCCAGAAGUACCUCUGGGGUAGUCACCCAUCCGUCUUUGAAUUCCAUCUGGUCAUCACACUUUACAGAAACUUUGUCAUCUUCCAGGAGUCUGAAAGUGAGUAGCUGUUUACAGAAAGAGAGCAGCAGGGAGAGGCCAAAUUAAAAGAAAAUAAUCCCCACCCCCCAGAAAAUAACCAACCAAUGAACCAGCCCUAAAGAAAAAACUCUCACCUUAUUUUCAAUUCUGUUGUCUCUUGGUUGUGUGUUGGUGGUGGUGGAGAAGUGUGUAUCUGUCCCUGCGUUUUAACUCAUACAACUUUAUGAUAACCAGGUGGGAGGGAGUAUGGUACUAUUGACAGGAGGCACUGGUUGAAUAUUUUAGAGCUGUGUUCACUAUAACUCAUUAAAAAACAAUUAACUAGAAAGGAAAGACAUAUAUUUCCCAGGAUUUCUACAAUGCUGCUGUGUUAAUUUUAUUAGCAGGUCAAAAAUAUAUUUUUUAAAAAUAACGACUAUCACAGUAAAACUUAGUGAUUAUUGCAUGCCAGGUUUUGUUUUAAGUUCUUUCUACAUAUUAACUUCUUUAAUUCUAACAACCAGCUUCUGGUUAAAAGAUACUAUCAUUAUCUCCAGUUUCCAGAUAUGAACACUGUGGCACAGAAAUGUUGACUAUUAAUUUCUUGUCCAAGAUCAUAUGUCUGGCCAAUGGUAGAGAAUCUGCCCAAGAAGUCAGGUGCUAGAGUCUAAUUCUUAGCCAAAUUCCACAUCACUUUCUAGACUAAAAGCCUGGGAUAGGGAAAUCGAGACACAGAAAAGUUAAACUUGCUGAAGUCACAAAGCUAAGCAGUAAGGGAGCAGGGACUCAAACUCAGCUCUUUCUAAGUCCAGUGACUAUACCCUUAGGAGUUAUUCAUGUAUUUUCUCUUUCCUCAUUGAGUGUCCUAAAAGAUUACCAUGAAGGCUCAGUGAGACAAGGUAUGUGGGUAUGUUUAGCAAACUGUAAAGCACCAUACAAGCCAUUUGUAAAUUAGAUUGAAGAACUAGAGGGGAAAUAGGAAAAAACUCACCUUGUAUUUGAGGUACAGAAGACAGACCCACAUCCUUGCAGUGAGGAGAUAAAACAGUAGAAAUGCAAAGGAAAAUCAGGUGGGAUCUUAAAACCAGACAGAGUAGAAGAGGGGAACAUUUCUCUUUUAGUGCUAAAUGUGCUAAGUGAUAAAAGCAACAGACCCA
RNAcentral lists this long non-coding RNA (1280 nucleotides) under Callithrix jacchus (white-tufted-ear marmoset). RNAcentral describes it as "lncRNA (ENSCJAG00000085086.1)". The record is from RNAcentral. Lineage: Eukaryota; Metazoa; Chordata; Mammalia; Primates; Cebidae.